AUUGAACGCUGGCGGCAUGCCUUACACAUGCAAGUCGAACGGUAACGGGCCUUCGGGUGCCGACGAGUGGCGAACGGGUGAGUAAUGUAUCGGAACGUACCUUUCAGUGGGUGAUAACGUAGCGAAAGUUACGCUAAUACCGCAUAUUCUGUGAGCAGGAAAGCAGGGGAUCGCAAGACCUUGCGCUGAUUGAGCGGCCGAUAUCAGAUUAGCUAGUUGGUGAGGUAAAGGCUCACCAAGGCGACGAUCUGUAGCGGGUCUGAGAGGAUGAUCCGCCACACUGGAACUGAGACACGGUCCAGACUCCUACGGGAGGCAGCAGUGGGGAAUUUUGGACAAUGGGGGCAACCCUGAUCCAGCCAUGCCGCGUGAGUGAAGAAGGCCUUCGGGUUGUAAAGCUCUUUCGGCCGGGAAGAAAUCGUAUGGGUUAAUACCCUGUGCGGAUGACGGUACCGGCAUAAGAAGCACCGGCUAACUACGUG
This 482-nucleotide ribosomal RNA is filed under the name uncultured bacterium. Its description in RNAcentral is "bacterial SSU rRNA". It matches the Rfam family "Bacterial small subunit ribosomal RNA", at positions 30 to 507 of the family's 1533-position model. The record is from RNAcentral.